GCAAAAUACAGAAGGAAAAAAUGGUAUUAAUUUAGGCUCCUAAGUAGUCACAACCUCUUAUAGAUGAGUGAGCAGAUUUUUGUUAUCAGUUAUUGGCUGUUGUAGCUUCUUCAUGUCUGGCUAGCUUUUAUCAGUGCAUCAACCUUCAACAAUAAUACCCAGGAACCUCAAUACCCAAUUUUUCCCCAUAACCAAAAACUAAUUUACCAAAUCCCUAUUAUCAAAAGCAAUAAAAUAGUGAUAAAGAGAAGAAUAAUAUUAUAUACUUGAUCAAAAUUACUGAGAAUAAAAAAACAUGCAUGAAUAUUGUCAGAAUAUGCGCAUACAUGCUUAAAGGUUUAGCUUCCAAUGGCAAAACUUUCUCCCAGAGCAGCAGUCUGAAUAUUUUACGAUCUCGGUAAUUAUUUAAGUGAAUCUUCAGAAAUAUUUUUGAGAAUUUUCUACAAAAUGAGUCCUUGAUUUAAGAGUUUGGUAAUACAGUACACGUUAGACGGGUACGUGAGAACUUUCUGUGAAUCAUUCGGAUUCAUAAGUUAUUUGAUGUGAUUUUCCGAAGUUAGAAUUAUUGAGAGUUUAUGGGAAAAUCAGAAUUUUUGUAUUUUGAGUAAUCUGGACCGUUGAAUCUCACCAUUGAACCACAGCCCUUGGAUUUGAAUUACUAAGACUUGAUAUAUAUUAGAAGCUGGUUCAGAUUGGGGCUUAAAAGCCCAGAACUCUAUCGAGCUCCACCCGAAGCAGCUCGUUGCCGACCCAAAACCCGCGCACGCCAAUCCGGCGAUUCCGCCGCCGUCAGCCCAUCCCUGGCCGGCGCACAAGUCCGAGCUUCUUCAUCUCGGUGUCCUCUUCCUUCCUAUGGUGGUGGUUGAUCCUAUUGUCGCCGGUAGGAGGGAGAAUCGCGGAAAGGAAGCUCAACCUGUUUUGAGUUUCAUCGGAGACUUGGCAGCCUUUUCGGCGACUCCGACCACCAUUGGAUUUCUCCUGGUAUUUUUCUUCUUCUCCUCUCUGUGCUCUUCACGCCCAUGACUUUAGUUCAUCGAUUUGAUUAAGGUUUGAUCGAUUUUGUAUUUCUGGGUUUUCUUCUGCUCGUCUCGUUCUUCGACGCUCGUGGCUUCUCGUGGCGCGGUUUCAUUCCGCCUUGUGUUCUGCAUCUGAGCCUUCAAGUGAAUUAGAGGCUGAUUUCCAGAGGGGAUGGUUAAGAGGGAAAAGCUUGGAGAUGACUUUGUUAUUAUGAGUUCGUCAGAGAAAAGCUUUCGGCAAAUUGAGGCUUUGUAAUGAAUUAAGGGACUCCAAUUACUCGAGGAGUGGAAAUGGAAAGCUUGUGACUCGCUGAGAGCGAGGGAAAGCACUGGAAUCCUGACUUACUGGAAUCACUCCAUCCAGCAGGCUAACAUCAAGAACUUGAGCAAUGAAACCGGGACCAAUUCCUUGGAUCAGAUGCAUUCCUAUGAAUCAACAUAGGAGGAUGAAGUUUCAAAUACUGUAAAAUGGCAUAAUGCGUAA
Long non-coding RNA from Argentina anserina (silverweed cinquefoil), 1500 nucleotides. RefSeq lists it as uncharacterized. The transcript is spliced from 3 exons. Lineage: Eukaryota; Viridiplantae; Streptophyta; Magnoliopsida; Rosales; Rosaceae. The record is from RefSeq and is a predicted model, not a curated record.